UUUUGCCCCCACCGGUUGCUGAGGGGAAAACAAUGGCUGUCUUGGUCAUUAUGACACCUGCUGAACGAAGGCAGCAUUUCUGAAGGUAAAAGAUGUGAUGAAAAGUUGACAACAUUACACUCGCCAGUCGUCAUCAUGCCAAAAUGUACUCAGGAAGCAGGAGUAUCCACUUUUAGAGGACCCAAAUUAAAUGAAGACUGGCCUCCGAAGAUGAAGCACACACAUGGUUGAAAGACUUUGGAGGAAGCUUAGAACGUAUCCAACUACUGGAUGUCAGAAGGCCUUCAGGAGACAGGAGAUGGCAUGCAGGUAAUGUGAUCAUUUAUUAGCACAAAACAAAAACUAGUGCAUCUACGGAGUGCACACAGAACAAAAACUAGUGCAGCUACGGAGUGCACACGAACAAAAACUAGUGUAGCUACGGAGUGCACACAGAACAAAAACUAGUGCAUCUACGGAGUGCACACAGAACAGAAACUAGUGCAGCUACGGAGUGCACACAGAACAAAAGCUAGUGCAUCUACGGAGUGCACACAGAACAAAAGCUAGUGCAGCUUUGGAGUGCACACAGAACAAAAACUAGUGCAGCUGUGGAGUGCACACAGAACAAAAGCUAGUGCAGCUAUGGAGUGCACACUGAACAAAAGCUAGUGCAGCUAUGGAGUGCACACAGAACAAAAGCUAGUGCAGCUAUGGAGUGCACACAGAACAAAAGCUAGUGCAACUAGGGAGUGCAGAGAGGCUAGAGAACAGGGCUGGCAUAUAAAGCAUGGCGUUGGUGACCGAGAACAGGUGUGUCCUGAUUGCAAAUCAUGGACAUGUGAGGAAGCCAGCGCCCGGACUGGAGAAUAGUGGGGAAAAGAGGCAAACAGGAAAUGAAAAAAAAAAGUACAAGAACAUUUAAAAAAAAAAAAAAAAAGUCCAAAUCUGUCAUGACAAAUUAUAUUUUUGUUUAUUUAAUAUUAUAUAGAAUACAAUACUGAAAAUAACAUAAUAAAAUGUGCUGAUGAGGCGUAAAAGCCUCUGGUUUAUACUGACGGUAAUUUGAGGAAAAUUAUCAAACGAUUUGAAGUUCUUCGGCACCUUCUACUUUAACAAAACAUGUCCGCAGACUGUAUAUAGUAUAGCCUAUAAUGCAAUCAUUUCUAUUUAAGUUGAGUGUGAGCUGCCAUUCUUUGUCGGGAUGCACACCAGAAGGUUUGCUUGCCAACCGCCAUUAGACCAAAAAAGAAGAAGAAGAUUCUUUGUCCGGACUUUGUUUAGAACGUACAUUCAUUCAUGUGGACGCUCUUUCCUCCGGCCGUGAGUUUUGCUGUGUUCCAGCAUUCUGUUCUAUUGCAAACUGGCAGUUUUAGUUUAGUUUUUGCAUAACCUUCCCUAUAUUUCAGUGACCUUCUAAACCAGACCUGGGCAAAAUACGGCCCGUGGGCCACAUGUGGCCCAUUAAGAUUUUCAAUCCAGCCCGCCGGACAUUCUACAUAAUAGUUUUAGACCUUUAACAUUAAAACUGUAGCCGCCAUUAUGAUGUGCAGUGAUGUUUUUAAAUGACCGUAAGUCUUGAACUAUAGAAAGUAUUUCAGUGGUCGAAAUCUGCGCUUUUGAGUGUUAUGUUUGUCAGAAACCGAUGCGGAAGCACAUUGUUACGUGAUAAUAUAUAAUAUUGUAGGUGUUUAAUAGACUUUGCAUUCAUAUUUUGCUGUUUGUUACAUUUUUGCUGUGUUUUGCUUGAUUGUAAAAGAUACACAACUAUCAAGGAGCUGGUCUGAGAAGUAAAAAGAGUAAUGUUCAUAUGUUGGUAAUAUUCAGUGUUUUAUUGUUCAUACUUAGUUGAUAUUGUGAAUCCCACUUUCUUUAUUUUCAUGUACACUUUGGGUGUCCCAUUCAGUAAAAAACGGUAAAAUUCCAUUCCGUUAAAAUAUUUUAUUUUUUAUUUGUCAUUAACGUUUUUAGAACUCUAUCCGACAUUUUGACUUUUGGUGUUAGUGUUCCUGAAAAAACUGACCUAAACACACAAACUCUACAACAGAUCUUUACAGCUAAAUGUGUAUAUAUCAUUUAUACACACAUACACAUUGGAAUCCCCCAGACACAUUUUUUCUCUCAAUGUGGCCCCCCGAGUCAAAAUACUUGCCCAGCUCUCUUCUCAACGGUACUCAUCUUUUGUUUGUCUUUAUCAUUACAUGAAAUAGUUAUUUACCUGCACAUUGCGUCCUCGGUCUUCUGCAUCUUGGGAACACGCCAGUCAUCGCAGUCAUGCGACC
Long non-coding RNA from Entelurus aequoreus (snake pipefish), 2261 nucleotides. RefSeq lists it as uncharacterized. Lineage: Eukaryota; Metazoa; Chordata; Actinopteri; Syngnathiformes; Syngnathidae. The record is from RefSeq and is a predicted model, not a curated record. The transcript has 3 exons.